This 608-nucleotide ribosomal RNA is filed under the name Escherichia coli. RNAcentral describes it as "partial 23S ribosomal RNA". It matches the Rfam family "Bacterial large subunit ribosomal RNA", at positions 2251 to 2853 of the family's 2925-position model. The record is from RNAcentral. Lineage: Bacteria; Pseudomonadati; Pseudomonadota; Gammaproteobacteria; Enterobacterales; Enterobacteriaceae.
ACAGUGUCUGGUGGGUAGUUUGACUGGGGCGGUCUCCUCCUAAAGAGUAACGGAGGAGCACGAAGGUUGGCUAAUCCUGGUCGGACAUCAGGAGGUUAGUGCAAUGGCAUAAGCCAGCUUGACUGCGAGCGUGACGGCGCGAGCAGGUGCGAAAGCAGGUCAUAGUGAUCCGGUGGUUCUGAAUGGAAGGGCCAUCGCUCAACGGAUAAAAGGUACUCCGGGGAUAACAGGCUGAUACCGCCCAAGAGUUCAUAUCGACGGCGGUGUUUGGCACCUCGAUGUCGGCUCAUCACAUCCUGGGGCUGAAGUAGGUCCCAAGGGUAUGGCUGUUCGCCAUUUAAAGUGGUACGCGAGCUGGGUUUAGAACGUCGUGAGACAGUUCGGUCCCUAUCUGCCGUGGGCGCUGGAGAACUGAGGGGGGCUGCUCCUAGUACGAGAGGACCGGAGUGGACGCAUCACUGGUGUUCGGGUUGUCAUGCCAAUGGCACUGCCCGGUAGCUAAAUGCGGAAGAGAUAAGUGCUGAAAGCAUCUAAGCACGAAACUUGCCCCGAGAUGAGUUCUCCCUGACUCCUUGAGAGUCCUGAAGGAACGUUGAAGACGACGACGU